CGACCGGCGCACGGGUGAGUAACGCGUAUGCAACCUGCCCGAUACCGGGGUAUAGCCCAUGGAAACGUGGAUUAACACCCCAUAGUACUUUCAUCCUGCAUGGGAUGUGAGUUAAAUGUUCAAGGUAUCGGAUGGGCAUGCGUCCUAUUAGUUAGUUGGCGGGGUAACAGCCCACCAAGACGAUGAUAGGUAGGGGUUCUGAGAGGAAGGUCCCCCACAUUGGAACUGAGACACGGUCCAA
Molecule: ribosomal RNA, 241 nt
Filed under: uncultured bacterium
Lineage: Bacteria
Description: partial 16S ribosomal RNA
Rfam family: Bacterial small subunit ribosomal RNA
Source: RNAcentral